UUCUGCGUAGUGAGCAGAGCUUUGCCUC
This 28-nucleotide small RNA is filed under the name Bombyx mori (domestic silkworm). RNAcentral describes it as "ovarian small RNA-37529". The record is from RNAcentral. Lineage: Eukaryota; Metazoa; Arthropoda; Insecta; Lepidoptera; Bombycidae.